UAUACCUACGGGAGGCAGCAGUGGGGAAUAUUGGGCAAUGGGCGCAAGCCUUACCCAGCAAUACCGCGUGAGUGAAGAAGGUCUUCGGAUUGCAAAGCUCUUUGAUCAGGGACGAACAGAUGACGGUACCUGAAGAACAAGCCCCGGCUAACUACGUGCCAGCAGCCGCGGUAAAACGUAGGGGGCAAGCGUUAUCCGGAUUUACUGGGUGUAAAGGGGGCGCAGACGGCAAUGCAAGCCAGGAGUGAAAGCCCGGGGCCCAACCCCGGGACUGCUCUUGGAACUGCAUGGCUGGAGUACAGGAG
This 305-nucleotide ribosomal RNA is filed under the name uncultured bacterium. RNAcentral describes it as "bacterial SSU rRNA". It matches the Rfam family "Bacterial small subunit ribosomal RNA", at positions 334 to 654 of the family's 1533-position model. The record is from RNAcentral.